Molecule: ribosomal RNA, 424 nt
Filed under: uncultured bacterium
Lineage: Bacteria
Description: bacterial SSU rRNA
Rfam family: Bacterial small subunit ribosomal RNA
Source: RNAcentral
UAGGGAAUAUUGGGCAAUGGAGGCAACUCUGACCCAGCCAUGCCGCGUGCAGGAUGACGGCCCUCUGGGUUGUAAACUGCUUUUAUACGGGAAGAAAAGUUGCUACGUGUAGCAAAAUCGACGGUACCGUAAGAAUAAGGAUCGGCUAACUCCGUGCCAGCAGCCGCGGUAAUACGGAGGAUCCAAGCGUUGUCCGGAUUUAUUGGGUUUAAAGGGUGCGUAGGCGGAUCUUUAAGUCAGUGGUGUAAGCCUGCAGCUUAACUGUAGAAUAGCCAUUGAAACUGAAGAUCUUGAAUUUGGUUAAAGUAGGCGGAAUGUAUCAUGUAGCGGUGAAAUGCUUAGAUAUGAUACAGAACACCGAUAGCGAAGGCAGCUUGCUGAACCAAUAUUGACGCUGAGGCACGAAAGCGUGGGGAGCAAACAG